This 492-nucleotide ribosomal RNA is filed under the name uncultured bacterium. Its description in RNAcentral is "partial 16S ribosomal RNA". It matches the Rfam family "Bacterial small subunit ribosomal RNA", at positions 29 to 507 of the family's 1533-position model. The record is from RNAcentral.
AGUGAACGCUGGCGGUAGGCCUAACACAUGCAAGUCGAACGGCAGCACCGUAAGAGCUUGCUCUUACGGGUGGCGAGUGGCGGACGGGUGAGGAAUACAUCUGAAUCUACUUUUUCGUGGGGGAUAACGUAGGUAAACUUACGCUAAUACCGCAUACGACCUACGGGUGAAAGCAGGGGAUCUUCGGACCUUGCGCGAUUGAAUGAGCCGCUGUCGGAUUAGCUAGUUGGCGGGGUAAAGGCCCACCAAGGCGACGAUCCGUAGCUGGUCUGAGAGGAUGAUCAGCCACACGGGAAGUGAGACACGGUCCAGACGCCUACGGGAGGCAGCAGUGGGGAAUAUUGGACAAUGGGCGCAAGCCUGAUCCAGCCAGACCGCGUGGGUGAAGAAGGCCUUCGGGUUGUAAAGCCCUUUUGUUGGGAAAGAAAAGCAGCAGGUUAAUACCCCGCGGUUCUGACGGUACCCAAAGAAUAAGCACCGGCUAACUUCGUG